UGGGGAAUUUUGGACAAUGGGCGAAAGCCUGAUCCAGCAAUGCCGCGUGUGUGAAGAAGGCCUUCGGGUUGUAAAGCACUUUUGUCCGGAAAGAAAUCCUUGGCUCUAAUACAGUCGGGGGAUGACGGUACCGGAAGAAUAAGCACCGGCUAACUACGUGCCAGCAGCCGCGGUAAUACGUAGGGUGCAAGCGUUAAUCGGAAUUACUGGGCGUAAAGCGUGCGCAGGCGGUUUGCUAAGACCGAUGUGAAAUCCCCGGGCUCAACCUGGGAACUGCAUUGGUGACUGGCAGGCUAGAGUAUGGCAGAGGGGGGUAGAAUUCCACGUGUAGCAGUGAAAUGCGUAGAGAUGUGGAGGAAUACCGAUGGCGAAGGCAGCCCCCUGGGCCAAUACUGACGCUCAUGCACGAAAGCGUUGGGGAGCAAACAGGAUUAGAUACCCUGGUAGUCCACGCCCUAAACGAUGUCAACUAGUUGUUGGGGAUUCAUUUCCUUAGUAACGUAGCUAACGCGUGAAGUUGACCGCCUGGGGAGUACGGUCGCAAGAUUAAAACUCAAAUGAAUUGACGGGGUCAUAGCUGUUU
This 583-nucleotide ribosomal RNA is filed under the name uncultured bacterium. Its description in RNAcentral is "partial 16S ribosomal RNA". It matches the Rfam family "Bacterial small subunit ribosomal RNA", at positions 355 to 935 of the family's 1533-position model. The record is from RNAcentral.